UUUAAAUUGCUGUGGUAUUUUGACUAUACGAAGGUAUUGAAAUAAGACUUUUAAUGAGUGCUAAGAGAAUGGUUUCACAAUUUACGACUGUCUUUUUAUUAAUAAUUGGAAAUUAAUUUUUUUGUGUAAAAGCAAAAAUAAAAUUAAGGGACAAGAAGACCCUAUGAAUUUUUCUAUUUUCCUAAUAAAAAAAAUUUUUUAUUAGGAAAAUUUAAUUGGGGUGAUUAGAAAAGAAUAAAAAUCUUUUUUUUCAAAAAAAUUGAUCCAUUUAUUAAUGAUAAUUUGAUAAAAAUACUCUAGGGAUAACAGCGUUAUAAUUUUGGAUAGCACAUAUUGAUAAAAUUGAUUGCGACCUCGAUGUUGGAUUAGGAUUCUUUCUUAUAUGAAGAAGUAAAGAAAAGAAGUUUGUUCAACUUUUAAAUUCCUACUUGAUCUGAU
RNAcentral lists this ribosomal RNA (438 nucleotides) under Ixodes tasmani (Tasmanian possum tick). RNAcentral's name for it is "partial large subunit ribosomal RNA". The stretch from base 302 to 438 matches the Rfam family "Archaeal large subunit ribosomal RNA", at positions 2542 to 2678 of the family's 2987-position model. The record is from RNAcentral. Lineage: Eukaryota; Metazoa; Arthropoda; Arachnida; Ixodida; Ixodidae.